GAUGAACGCUGGCGGCGUGCCUAAUACAUGCAAGUCGAGCGGACAGACGAGGAGCUUGCUCCUUUGACGUUAGCGGCGGACGGGUGAGUAACACGUGGGUAACCUACCUAUAAGACUGGGAUAACUUCGGGAAACCGGAGCUAAUACCGGAUAAUAUUUCGAACCGCAUGGUUCGAUAGUGAAAGAUGGCUUUGCUAUCACUUAUAGAUGGACCUGCGCCGUAUUAGCUAGUUGGUAAGGUAACGGCUUACCAAGGCAACGAUACGUAGCCGACCUGAGAGGGUGAUCGGCCACACUGGAACUGAGACACGGUCCAGACUCCUACGGGAGGCAGCAGUAGGGAAUCUUCCGCAAUGGGCGAAAGCCUGACGGAGCAACGCCGCGUGAGUGAUGAAGGUCUUCGGAUCGUAAAACUCUGUUAUUAGGGAAGAACAAACGUGUAAGUAACUGUGCACGUCUUGACGAUACCUAAUCAGAAAGCCACGGCUAACUACGUG
RNAcentral lists this ribosomal RNA (497 nucleotides) under uncultured bacterium. RNAcentral describes it as "partial 16S ribosomal RNA". It matches the Rfam family "Bacterial small subunit ribosomal RNA", at positions 28 to 507 of the family's 1533-position model. The record is from RNAcentral.